GAUGAACGCUGGCGGCGUGCUUAACACAUGCAAGUCGAGCGAUGAAGUUUCCUUCGGGAAACGGAUUAGCGGCGGACGGGUGAGUAACACGUGGGUAACCUGCCUCAUAGAGUGGAAUAGCCUUCCGAAAGGAAGAUUAAUACCGCAUAACGUUGAAAGAUGGCAUCAUCUUUCAACCAAAGGAGCAAUCCGCUAUGAGAUGGACCCGCGGCGCAUUAGCUAGUUGGUGGGGUAACGGCCUACCAAGGCGACGAUGCGUAGCCGACCUGAGAGGGUGAUCGGCCACAUUGGGACUGGGACACGGCCCAGACUCCGACGGGAGGCAGCAGUGGGGAAUAUUGCACAAUGGGGGAAACCCUGAUGCAGCAACGCCGCGUGAGUGAUGAAGGUUUUCGGAUCGUAAAGCUCUGUCUUUGGGGAAGAUAAUGACGGUACUCAAGGAGGAAGCCACGGCUAACUACGUGCCAGCCGCCGCAGUAA
This 480-nucleotide ribosomal RNA is filed under the name uncultured bacterium. RNAcentral's name for it is "partial 16S ribosomal RNA". It matches the Rfam family "Bacterial small subunit ribosomal RNA", at positions 28 to 523 of the family's 1533-position model. The record is from RNAcentral.